RNAcentral lists this long non-coding RNA (2758 nucleotides) under Salmo salar (Atlantic salmon). Its description in RNAcentral is "lncRNA (ENSSSAG00000106279.1)". Lineage: Eukaryota; Metazoa; Chordata; Actinopteri; Salmoniformes; Salmonidae. The record is from RNAcentral.
CACUGUAUCAGACUAAGCAUAACUGAAAAGAUGAUGUUGAAAUGUUGAAGUUGAAAUGUUGCUGGAAUAGUGGAGGCAGCGCCUGUUUUCAUUGCGACUUGCAGUAACUCUCCUGUGUUCUAAAUCAAUAGUUUAGUAGUCUGAAAAUGUAGGAAACAUUAACUUGUUUGACCAUGCUGUAGGUCAUGUAACUGUUUGUUACAUGCAAUAUGCUUUGUGGACUUCACCGGACAGAGGUUUCUCUCCGGUUUUGUGAUGAACCAAAGGUGUGGUUGAAUUUAUAAGAAGUUAUUGUCUCAGCCUUUAGGCCUAUAUAUCACUGUGUCAAGGCAUAUGAACUAACAGGUUAUAGAGAAAACAACGCAAUUAUCACAACACAUUCCCUGGUGAUUUUACCUCUACUGCUUACACAUCUAUUCCUAAUUCAUGUCUGGCCAUGUCCUCUCUACUCACUUACUCACUCACUCCCCCUCAUGUUCCUUCAAGGUGUCUCGGAAAGAGAUCAGCUGGAGAGUAUCAUGAGACUGACUGUCAUGUACAAGCACCGCCUGGUGCCAGGAAUAGGCUAUUUUUCUUCAUUAACACCAGGCAUAUUUUUUUAGGAGCAUACAUGACACCUUUUUAAUGUCUUAAAAACCCUCUCAAGGUAAACUUCAAAAGGGGCAAUCUGCAGUUCAAACUAUAUCAAAAGCUGACACCCUACCACUGUUUUGGUAAAAAAAAGGUGAGGGAUGGGCUGGAGAAAUGUAACCACUCUCAAAUUCAAAGACAUAGAUAUGGUUGCAAGGACAUGAUAUCUAAAUUAUAGUUUUAACUAUGUUUUGAGGCUAUAUAGUGUUUGUUUAUCUUUACUUUGUUUAUGAACAUUGGAGUAAAAUAAGCAUAUAGAUUAUUGUGGGUUCUGAUGGGGUACGACAGUUGAACUCAUGAGGCGUUUAGAAAUUAUAUUUUCAAGAAUCAAUGGGUAUUAAAAAGUCCAAAAAUGGAUGGACCAAUUGCAGAUUGCCACUUUAACGUAAAGUGUUACCUACAUUAAUAUGUGUUCUACAUACAUGUAAAGCCAAAGUAAGUAGUUUGAAGAAUGAAAAUAAUAUACAAUAUAACACAAAAAUAAUGGGGCAGGAUAGGUAACUGGGAAUGGGUCUAUAGGUAACUGGGAAUGGGUCUAUAGGUAAAUGGGUCUAUAGGUAACUGGGAACGGGUCUAUAGGUAACUGGGUCUAUAGGUAACUGGGAAUGGUUCUAUAGGUUACUGGGUCUAUAGGUAACUGGGUCUAUAGGUAACUGGGUCUAUAGGUAACUGGGAAUGGUUCUAUAGGUAACUGGGUCUAUAGGUAACUGGGUCUAUAGGUAAACGGGUCUAUAGGUAACUGGGUCUAUAGGUAACUGGGUCUAUAGCUAACUGGGAAUGGUUCUAUAGGUAACUGGGUCUAUAGGUAACUGGGUCUAUAGGUAACUGGGUCUAUAGGUAACUGGGAAUGGUUCUAUAGGUAACUGGGUCUAUAGGUAACUGGGUCUAUAGGUAACUGGGUCUAUAGGUAAAUGGGUCUAUAGGUAACUGGGUCUAUAGGUAACUGGGUCUAUAGGUAACUGGGAAUGGUUCUAUAGGUAACUGGGUCUAUAGGUAACUGGGUCUAUAGGUAACUGGGAAUGGGUCUAUAGGUAACUGGGUCUAUAGGUAACUGGGUCUGUAGGUAACUGGAAACGGGUCUAUAGGUAACUGGGUCUAUAGGUAACUGGGUCUAUAGGUAACUGGAAACGGGUCUAUAGGUAACUGGGUCUAUAAGUAACUGGGUCUAUAGGUAACUGGAAACGGGUCUAUAGGUAACUGGUUCUAUAGGUAACUGGGUCUAUAGGUAACUGGGUCUAUAGGUAACUGGGAACGGGCCUAUAGGUAACUGGGUCUAUAAGUAACUGGGUCUAUAGGUAACUGGAAACGGGUCUAUAGGUAACUGGUUCUAUAGGUAACUGGGUCUAUAGGUAACUGGGUCUAUAGGUAACUGGGAACGGGUCUAUAGGUAACUGGUUCUAUAGGUAACUGGUUCUAUAGGUAACUGGGAACGGGUCUAUAGGUAACUGGGUCUAUAAGUAACUGGGUCUAUUGGUAACUGGAAACGGGUCUAUAGGUAACUGGUUCUAUAGGUAACUGGGAACGGGUCUAUAGGUAACUGGUUCUAUAGGUAACUGGUUCUAUAGGUAACUGGUUCUAUAGGUAACUGGGAACGGUUCUAUAGGUAACUGGUUCUAUAGGUAACUGGGUCUAUAGGUAACUGGGAACGGUUCUAUAGGUAACUGGGUAUAUAGGUAACUGGGUCUAUAGGUAACUGGGAACAGGUCUUUAGGUAACUGGUUCUAUAGGUAACUGGUUCUAUAGGUAACUAGGUCUAUAGGUAACUGGGAAUGGGUCUAUCGAGGGAUAACCGUUUGGGUUAAGUGCUGUUAGCUGAUCCAGCUCCUUUCGGACCAGAUGGUUGAAGUGACAAUUUGUCACACAAAUUCAGUUUCUGUAUAGAAAUGAAUGUCGUUGUGUGGACAGUCCAAGGACGACCCUUUAAAUAUCCCCAGAAUAAUUGCUUUGAGUGGAACAGCCAUUGUUGACGUGUUUUACCAAGCCUGUGGCAUUCUUUUACCAAUCAUAGAGUGAGGGCCUUGGUCACAAGUAGUGCAGCAUAGGGUACCAUUUGGCAUACAUCCUCAGACAAUGGGACAACACCGGCCUAGAGUCCUUCAUCCACACAACCGUCAAAUCAAAUCAAAUG